This 253-nucleotide ribosomal RNA is filed under the name uncultured bacterium. RNAcentral describes it as "partial 16S ribosomal RNA". It matches the Rfam family "Bacterial small subunit ribosomal RNA", at positions 524 to 776 of the family's 1533-position model. The record is from RNAcentral.
UACGAAGGGGGCUAGCGUUGUUCGGAAUUACUGGGCGUAAAGCGCACGUAGGCGGACACUUAAGUCAGGGGUGAAAUCCCGGGGCUCAACCUCGGAACUGCCUUUGAUACUGUGAGUCUCGAGACCGGAAGAGGUGAGAGGAAUACCUAGUGUAGAGGUGAAAUUCGUAGAUAUGAGGAAGAACACCAGUGGCGAAGGCGGGUGACUGGCUCGGUACUGACGCUGAGGUGCGAAAGCGUGGGGAGCAAACAGG